Molecule: unclassified non-coding RNA, 220 nt
Filed under: uncultured fungus
Lineage: Eukaryota; Fungi
Description: sequence contains ITS1
Source: RNAcentral
CCGGGUCGGCGACUGCCCGAAACCAAACAGUGCACUGGCAUGUUAUAUUUUUUGUGCCGUCGCGCCGCGGCGGGCUGCUCGCUGGGGGAGCCGCGGGCCCUGGAGGGGGUUUCCUCCUCCCGGGCCGGCCUGCUAAGGGCGCUGUUCAGAACCGCGCUGAAGAACUUUCAGAUGGUGUCCUGGUGGUCUUCGGGCCCCGGACGAGAAAAAAACCCAGUCA